ACGCCGUGACUGCGUCGAUACUAGCAGGUUUGAGGGAACCUCGACACGGCGC
This 52-nucleotide non-coding RNA is filed under the name unclassified sequences. The record is from RNAcentral.